Molecule: ribosomal RNA, 392 nt
Filed under: uncultured bacterium
Lineage: Bacteria
Description: partial 16S ribosomal RNA
Rfam family: Bacterial small subunit ribosomal RNA
Source: RNAcentral
AUACGGAGGAUCCGAGCGUUAUCCGGAUUUAUUGGGUUUAAAGGGUGCGCAGGCGGCCAUUUAAGUCAGCGGUUAAAUCGUGGGGCUCAACCCCAUUCUGCCGUUGAUACUGGGGGGCUUGAUUGCGGUCGAGGUUGGCGGAAUUCGUUGUGUAGCGGUGAAAUGCAUAGAUAUGACGAAGAACACCGAUUGCGUAGGCAGCUGACCAGAUCGCAAAUGACGCUCAUGCACGAAAGUGCGGGGAUCGAACAGGAUUAGAUACCCUGGUAGUCCGCACAGUAAACGAUGAAUACUUGUUUUCGGCGAUAUAAUGUCGGAGGCAAGGCGAAAGCGAUAAGUAUUCCACCUGGGGAGUACGCCGGCAACGGUGAAACUCAAAUGAAUUGGCGGGG